GAUGAACGCUGGCUGCGUGCCUAAUACAUGCAAGUCGAGCGAACAGACGAGGAGCUUGCUCCUCUGACGUUAGCGGCGGACGGGCGAGUAACACGCGGAUAACCUACCUACACUACUCGGAUAACUUCGGGAAACCGGGUCUAAUACCGGACAAUAUAUUUAACCGCAUGGCUCAAUAGUGAAACACGGUUUUGCUCUCACUUAUAGAUGGAUCCGGGCCGCAUUAGCUAGUUGGUAAGGUAACGGCUUACCAAGGCCACGAUGCGUAGCCGACCUGAGAGGGUGGUAAGCCACACGAGAACGGAGACGAGGUACGGACGCCUACGGGAGGCGACAGUGGGGAGACUUACGCAAUGGGAGGGAGCCAGGCGGGACAACGCCACGUGAGGGAUAGGGUGCCGCGGAUCGUAAAAGUCUGUUAUUAGGGAGGGACGAAUGUGUAAGUAACGAGGCAGGUCUUGAAGGUACCGAAUCAGAAAGGCACGGCUAACUACGUG
Molecule: ribosomal RNA, 497 nt
Filed under: uncultured bacterium
Lineage: Bacteria
Description: partial 16S ribosomal RNA
Rfam family: Bacterial small subunit ribosomal RNA
Source: RNAcentral